UCUAAAAUGGCAGAUUAGUGCAAUAGAUUUAAAUUCUAUAUAUAUAAAUUUUUUAUUUAUUUUUAGAA
RNAcentral lists this transfer RNA (68 nucleotides) under Trichogramma chilonis. Its description in RNAcentral is "tRNA-Leu". Lineage: Eukaryota; Metazoa; Arthropoda; Insecta; Hymenoptera; Trichogrammatidae. The record is from RNAcentral.